Molecule: ribosomal RNA, 492 nt
Filed under: uncultured bacterium
Lineage: Bacteria
Description: partial 16S ribosomal RNA
Rfam family: Bacterial small subunit ribosomal RNA
Source: RNAcentral
AUUGAACGCUGGCGGCAUGCUUUACACAUGCAAGUCGAACGGUAACAGGCCUUCGGGUGCUGACGAGUGGCGCACGGGUGAGUAAUGCAUCGGAACGUACCCAGAGGUGGGGGAUAACGCAGCGAAAGCUGUGCUAAUACCGCAUGUGAUCUGAGGUUGAAAGCGGGGGACCGAGCAGCAAUGUUUGGCCUCGCGCCUUUGGAGCGGCCGAUGUCGGAUUAGCUAGUUGGUGGGGUAAAGGCCUACCAAGGCGACGAUACGUAGCUGGUCUGAGAGGACGACCAGCCACACUGGGACUGAGACACGGCCCAGACUCCUACGGGAGGCAGCAGUGGGGAAUUUUGGACAAUGGGCGCAAGCCUGAUCCAGCAAUGCCGCGUGCGGGAAGAAGGCCUUCGGGUUGUAAACCGCUUUUGGCAGGAACGAAACGGUGUCCGCUAAUACCGGGCGCUAAUGACGGUACCUGCAGAAUAAGCACCGGCUAACUACGUG